AGCAGUGAGCUCAGCGGGUAUCUAUGCAAUAAUAGAAUCAUGAGUGGAAUAUAAAUCAAAGAAAAAUGAUAUCUGAACACAUUAGUCAUAAGGCAUCAUCACCAAGGGUCUAUAUAUAUAUCACCAAGCAACUAGAUAGAUGCAGUAAACUCAAUCUCAUCUUAAAGCCUUUAAGCACAAAGACGACAUGUGUCUACAGAGCAAGCCAUAUCAUCACACAGAUGAAAGAGAUCACAACAUACCUUGGUCUUACAGAAACCAGCCAU
Molecule: long non-coding RNA, 266 nt
Organism: Arabidopsis thaliana (thale cress)
Lineage: Eukaryota; Viridiplantae; Streptophyta; Magnoliopsida; Brassicales; Brassicaceae
Product: other RNA
Exons: 1
Source: RefSeq